Molecule: ribosomal RNA, 254 nt
Filed under: uncultured bacterium
Lineage: Bacteria
Description: partial 16S ribosomal RNA
Rfam family: Bacterial small subunit ribosomal RNA
Source: RNAcentral
UACAGAGGUCCCGAGCGUUGUUCGGAUUCACUGGGCGUAAAGGGUGCGUAGGUGGUGAGGUAAGUCGGAUGUGAAAUCUCCGAGCUCAACUCGGAAAUGGCAUUGGAAACUGCCUCGCUAGAGUCCGGAAGAGGAGAGCGGAAUUCCCGGUGUAGCGGUGAAAUGCGCAGAUAUCGGGAGGAACACCAAUGGCGAAGGCAGCUCGCUGGGACGGUACUGACGCUGAGACGCGAAAGCGUGGGGAGCAAACAGGG